This is a non-coding RNA of Pelobates cultripes (western spadefoot toad), 6480 nucleotides long. NCBI's taxonomy places the organism in Eukaryota, Metazoa, Chordata, Amphibia, Anura, Pelobatidae. The record is from the annotation of a GenBank genome assembly.
GUGAAUAUGAUUCCUUCCCUUUAAUUGCCCAGGCAACACAUGCGAUCCCAGGAGCUGCAAGUACAGCAUGCAACAGCCACACAAUAAAUAACAAUAGAUCCCUCCGCCCUGGCCGGGACUGGCUCUCUGGCUCUCUGGCUGGAUGGCUGGGGCUGUCCAGGCGCUAUCCUGGGCGCUCUCUGAUGGUGGAGGCGCACACAGCCUGCUCUCCCAGGGGCCACACACACUGGGGCUGUCUCUCAGCUCCGACCAGCUCACAGCUAUUUUUCCCCUUCCUCUUCCCUUCCCUGGCACUGGCUUUUCUCUUAUCUCCCUCUAUGGGAUCAGUCUUUCCCCCCUCCCUCCCUCCUCUUUUUGGCUUCUCUUUUUUUUUCCUGUUCGGACUAUUUUUCUUUAUUCUCUCUCUCUCUCUCUCCCAGCUCUCUCUCUCUCUCUUCUUCUUCACUUUGCUUAGUUGGUGCCCACGCUGGACUGGCGGAUUUAGAUGUUGUUGUUUUUUGCUGUGCUGAGUCCCUGACGUCACAUCCACCUGCUGGGUAAACAACAAGACAGAACAAGAGCAUGCAUGCAGGAUUUAUUGAAGAAAAAAAAAAGUAAUAUAAUAAAAGGGGGUGGUAGGAGGGAGGCUGUUUUUUUAGGGCACACUAAUUGUUUAGGUGGGGAGUUGUUUAGAUGGGGAGUUGUUGAGACUUCUGGGAUGAGUGGUACUGAUGAAGGGGUUAUAUUGGGUGGGGGUACUUGGGGCAAUGCAUGGGUGUGAUGACAAGUAAAAAAUGGUAAAUGGGUUGUUUUGGGUGGGAGUGUGUGUGUAAGAAACACUUACUGGGAAACUGGAGGGGGGCAGCUGCUGCAGAAUGUCUUGAGAGCAGAGCUGUCCAUCAGACAUUCCUUUUGUAGAAUUUUAGAACAGUGGUGAUUGACAGUUUUUUUUUGUCAGGAUAAGAAGUUCUGGAGCAGUUCUGUUAAUGUUAGUCUUUUGCCUGCCUUGGUCGUGUCCACGUUUUUAUUAUGAUGCUUUGUGUUUAACUUCUUCAAGUUUAUUAUUCAUAUGUUAUUUUUGUGCUUAAGUAUUUUGCAACUCUAUUGACACUGUAUUUUGUAAUGUGUCACAAGAUGCACUAGACCUUAAAGUGUUAACAAGAGAUCGUUGUUGAAUGAUGGAGGGUUUAAAAAUAUAUCUCGUUUUUAAAGAGAACUCUCAAAUACCCUUAUUUGCUCUAAGACAGUGUAUAGUGGGGUUUGUGUGCAGGAAAAGGGACAAAGGGGGAGAACUCCACUUUUAUGUCACUAGUAAAAGCAGAGGAGAGUUCGUGAGGUGAAAGUUCAUACACAGGACAAAGCCCCCUCUCCUCCACCCCCCCUUAACCCCAAAGGCAUCUAGAGCCCCAGGGAAUCCCCAUCUUGUGUCCCUGAUCUGGCAGGGGGACCCCCCAGUGUACAUGGGUGACCCUCUCCAGUACAGAUAUUUUAUCACCUAAUAAAUCAGUCCCAUUUAGAUUAACAGCAUGCAAUACCAGACUAUACAAUAUAAAUCCAUAGUCCUUGCUGUGAACUAUAGUUAUAUGUAUGUACAAUGAAUACUUAUAUAUUCAAUAUUAUUGUUAUAUAUAUAUAUAUAUUAGUUAUGCACUAUAAAUGAUAUAUGAUAUACAUAAUAAUAUUACAUUUCAAUGUAUAAUAUAUUUAUUGUUUUCCUGUAAAUACAACUCAAAUCUGUGAAGUGUAACAUUUUAAAAAAUACUUUUUUUCUAUUCCUUUCAAGCCAUAAAGCAUUUAAUUUUUUUUUAACUAAUGCCAAACCAUUCUAAAAGCAAAGUACAAAAAAAAAAAAAAGUACCUAUUUUAAUAUGUGUGUGAAAUUAAGAUAUACUCACACAAUUAUUCCAAUAUAAUACUUUUCUUUUUUCUUUUUUUUUUUUAUAAAUGGACUUACGUACACUUGGAUUCUUUUUCUCAAACAUAACACAUAUACAUUUAUGUGAUAGAGAUAUAUGUAAAUCUUGUGUAUAUAAAGGCCGCAUAUUUGAACCAACGCUUAUUGCAUUAUUGCCCACCACUUGUUAAGUGAAAAAUAAUUCCAUUAUUUUUGGGCAUUUGUACUAAGAAACAUGUGCAAUAUUAAUGAAAUGUUCAAGCACUGUAUAUUUAUAUAGUAUAAGGAUUGAAUCAUAUAUUGUAACUUUACACAUUUUCCUUAUGAGCAAUUACUGUCAGAAUAAGGAUAACCUGGGGCGUGGCAACCUUCCUGCAAUGACUCCCAUAACUCUUAGUCAGCCAUAUAUUGUUCAGUAUUUAAAUUGGGCAGACUAGAUGGGCCGAAUGGUUCUUACCGUCUGUCACAUUCUAUGUUUCUAAAUUAGGUUUGGUAGUGAGCAGAUUUGUAACACUGUCUGCUUGUGUAUUUCAUAACCGUUUAUUAGUAGAUUAGCUACCAAUCAGAAUUAUCAGUAGGCCAGUUUAAGUGAAACAUAACUGUUAUAAAUUUAAUUCAGUGGUGUUUAAAUAAAAAAUUUAAAGGCAACUACCACUCAUAUUUUUUCCGUCUGAUUUACCUAUAAAAUCAGCUAAUAUUUACUAUUUUCAGUGUAAAUGAAUGUAGUAUAUAUGUUUUUAAUUUUAUUGCGUACACUCUGGUAUUGGAAAGUUAAAAUGUUGUUGUAUGUUGUUAGUGUACAAAAAAGAUUUUCAAAACAAUAUAUGAAAAGAAAAAUCCAUAAUAAAUGUACAAAAGCAUAUCAUGUUAUUUCACUAUUAUAUAUUGAGUUCUAAAUACCAACAUGUUCCGUGAUGAUGUAUCAUAUUUGAUUUAUACUGUUUACAGAAUAUUUUUCAUAAUUUUAGCAUUUUUGACCCCGUAAAUAAAUGUCCAAAGCAGGUUUCCUUUUCAGUUUGCUUGGACGUUCCUUAUAAGUCACAAGGAUGAGGAUGUGCAUAACAUGUGUGACCCAGUUUUGUGUGUUUUAUUCCACAACUGAGUUGUAAAAUUAAGACAAAAAUUGCUGAUUUGGAAAAAUUCUUUGACUUGGCCUUAAUCACAUCCUAGCUAUUUUAGCACUAAGUUUUUUUUUUAAUUUAGUUUAAUUCAGUGUUUAGUGAAUAAAAUCCCAUGUCUGUUGUAGGAGAAAUGCCUUAAAUACCUGAUGUAGGAUACUUUCAUGAGACAGGAGAGCUGGCUUUUAACACUUUCUCUGCAAUGUAUCUCAAAUCUCACUCAACAUAUUAGUAUUUCACUUUAGGAGUAAACCUGAGUAACUCAUUGGACUUUUGGAGGUCCUCCUUGGGUUUAAAAAUGUAAAAAAUCAUGUUUCCACAACUAUCCCAGAGUUCCCAGCUUGAAAUGCAAAUGAGCACAGACAGGCACCAUGUUUCAGACUUCAUACUGCAUUUCUGUGCACACUCUUUGCAAUGAACGCUGUUUUAGACAAAACAAACUUUUUUUUUAACCAAAGCAUGUGCUAUGAUCCAAAAGGACAAGUUACCAGAAAUCAGUCAUGGAUUAUAGUUUCGACCUUGUGAGUCUUAAUAGCAUGGCUCCAGUUCUGGUCUGAAAUUUGAUGUCUCUGUGAUCAUAUAGCUAAGGUACUAAAGUGACAGUCAUUUCUUUUUUUGUUGCACUGUGGGACAUUUUAUCGUUUUUGGUCUCACUACAAUCAUAUUUCAUAUACACACACAUUUACAUAUAUACAUACAUAGACAAGGUAAGUAGGACUUUUGGAAAAGCUUGCCUUCCACACAGUAAUUCCAAGAAAUCAAGUUCCUAAUUAUCCCCAAAUUCAUUGGUUGACAGGAAGUCUUUAUGUUUCAGGCUUCAUCCUGCAUGUCUGCAGACACUCUAAGCAAUGGAGCACUGUUUUAAACAGAGCAUGGGUUGUGAUCCUGAAGAACCAGUUGCUGGAAACCAACCAUACCGUUUUAACCUCCUUGGUUUCAUCAGCAUUGUGCUGGUCCUGACACUGUAGUCUUUCUUACAGUAUAUAGCUAGGUACUAAGUGACUUGCGGUGAGACCAAACAUGAUAGAACUCUUCACUAGGUGUGCAAAUUCACAAUUUACUGUUGUGCCCAAUCUGCAUAUCUCAAAGAGGAUCUUGGGAAAUGUCCAACUAUAGCACAUGUUUUUGAUGUUUCCGCAAAUUCUGUUUUAGACCUCACUCUGCUAUCUGAAAGGAUCAAUGAGCAGAAACUAAGCAUGGACCAUAAACAUUUGUUUUGAACAUUCAUAUCCCCAGUAUUGUGCUAAUUCUGGUCUUGGAGUUAAAGACUAUUAGUCAACAUAUAGCUAAGUACUAGAUAUGCUGUGGUGGGGCCAAACAUGAUAAAACUUCCACUGGUUUAUACAUAUGCACAUUCAGGGCCGACUUUACCCAAGGUCCUACUUGUGAAUGAAAUUGAUACACAACUGUAAAUUUUAAAUUGGUAUAAACCAGUGGUAGUUCCAGUACCAAGACAAGGGGGGAUUUGCUAAAAUUACUUCUACAAUGUGAAUUGUUUUGAUCAAAGAGUUAAAAAGCAGAAACAAAUCUAAUGAAUAUAUUAAACACGUCUGUAAUUUUUUUCCUCUCUUUCUGUGUUCUUUCUUUAGAAUCGCGGAGUAUACUGUCCAUCGGUGAAGAUUAGAAAGGUUGUUCUGGUGCCUCUGCUGGUAUUCAUGAGAUGACGGUGUACUGAAUAUUUAAGAUGCAUAUAUUGAUAUAAGAUGAUAUAUUACUGUGAAAAAAAAAGUAUCAACAUCAGAACAUGUUUGAAGUUUUAAAACGUUUAAAGUAUAUCAAAUAAAAGUUUACAAUUAAAAUUAGGUAAAUACAUUUAUUACUCCAAGUAUGGUAUUUAGGACAUAUGCGUGAUUGAGAUCUUAUAAAUUUAUGUGUUAAUAUUAUAAUAUGCACUUUAUUUCCCAUUCAGCCAUCUAUUCACAUUUUCCACUUUUUACUAUAUUGAUCUUAUUACUGAUAGCUAACUUUAGGAUAUAUGUUGUAAUGUUUACUGAACACGUGAUUUUCGAUUGUGAAUUGUUACCUUGACUAUAACCUCAUAUCCAAAAGAUCCCAUCCGUUUUUGAGUCAGCUGUCUAAUUGUUCACACUAUAUUUUAAGGGCUUAGGAUGUACUGUGCUUAAUGACUGUCAAAAAGUUGUCAGUCUGUAUGAUCCCAUAAUAAAGGGACGCUUGUGACUCUGGACCAUCCUUACCAUAUCACAACGCAUUAAUCUAGCUGGGGCAAAUUAAACUACUCAGUUCGAGACAGAUAAUCCAGUAUUCGGCAAAAGAUAAUACAGAUACGGGUAAUAAUGACUGCUGGAUUAUAUCUACCACCAUUCUUAGUCUAAAACCCAUGACUACAUUGCAAGGGUUAUUUUGCCAAAAUAAAAGAAUUACAUUUUCUUUAUACAGUUUUUGAUUUUCUGCAUGCCAAGUCUAGGUGUCAUUCCCAAAGAUCAGCAUAACAACCAAGUACUGCCAGAGUUAUAUGUGUCGUCUAUGCCUGUGCAGAUAUUGUGAAUUUUAGAGUGACUUUGUUUAUUUAUAUUUGUGAGACUUGAACUAGGACAGCGGACUCUCCCCAUCAUCUCACUCCAGGCACACUUCAGGCUGGAGUAAAUCUUAUUUGUAAAAAGGCAAUACUGGUCCCUAUUUAACAGAAGCACAUGUAUAUCCCUAAAAUUAUUCCCAGCACAUGAAAGUACUGAACCUAUUAUCUCAUAGACUCCAUUCUGCCCUCAUUUUCCUUUAUGAUUUUCUUUAUCACUGCAGCAAUAUGCCCAGCUUUCCAUUUACUGUUGUUAAAAGGUGAAUCUAUCCCCCCCCCUUCAUCCAAUCUCCAUAUCCCAUAAACCUCUGAAGAAGGUAUAUAGAGCGUCACCUUUGGUAAUAUUAUUCAACAUUAUUAUUCAACAUUAUGUGCAAGCUAUGCGAAUCUGCAGUAAAAAAUAUUUACUAAAUAGCUUCAUUCCUUUUUUCCCCCUUUCAAUAUACGUGGGUGACAGUAUGAACAUGAUCUGUACAAUGUUCUUGCAAACUCGCCAGCAAAUGUAUAGAUUAAUAAAAUUAAAUACCUGAUGAUUGCAUAUACCUAUUCUAAAAUGGCUGCCAAAAACAUGGAUUUGCGUGACUGCAAGCAACAAUGCACAGAGCAAGUUUAUUCACACCUCCACUUGUUCACAUUUCUGGAGGCCUUUAAAAAAAAACAAAAAACAUUCUGUUCCGGGGAUCUUGAUAUCUAAUAGUGGGUUCACUUACUUAAAUCAUUUAUACCUAUACAUUUGUGAAUGGUUUAUCUAGCCAAAUGUAUAGAUCGAAUUUACACCACCAUUAUAUAUGAUUCUGUCAUGUUUGUCUCAAGGGAGUCCUUUUUGUAAUUUAAGGGAGUACGUGCACAUAAAUAAGACAUUUUGAAAACACAAAACGGUUUAUCUGUUCUACUAAACAGUUGUAAAAUCUUUACAGUUUGGCUAUUUUGCAGUAAAUUGUCAAUUCCUGUUCAAU